UACGUAGGGACCAAGCGUUGUCCGGAAUCAUUGGGCGUAAAGCGCGCGUAGGUGGCUUCGUAAGUCCGUUGUGAAAGUCAAAGGCUCAACCUUUGAAAGCCGAUGGAUACUGCGGAGCUAGAGUACGGAAGAGGCGAGUGGAAUUCCAGGUGUAGCGGUGAAAUGCGUAGAUAUCUGGAGGAACACCGGUGGCGAAGGCGGCAUCCUGGACCGGCAUUGACGCUGAGGCGCGAAAGCCAGGGGAGCAAAGCGGG
This 254-nucleotide ribosomal RNA is filed under the name uncultured bacterium. RNAcentral's name for it is "partial 16S ribosomal RNA". It matches the Rfam family "Bacterial small subunit ribosomal RNA", at positions 524 to 777 of the family's 1533-position model. The record is from RNAcentral.